UCCUUCGAAGAGUCGAGUUGUUUGGGAAUGCAGCUCAAAAUGGGUGGUAAAUUUCAUCUAAAGCUAAAUAUUGGCGGGAGACCGAUAGCGCACAAGUAGAGUGAUCGAAAGAUGAAAGGCACUUUGAAAAGAGAGUUAAACAGUACGUGAAAUUGUUGAAAGGGAAGCGCUUGCAAUCAGACUCGCCUUCAGUUGAUCAGCCUUCCUUCUGGUUGGUGCACUCUGCUGUUGGCGGGCCAGCAUCAGUUGGGGCGGUGGGAUAAAGGCGGCAGGAAUGUGGCUCGCUUCGGUGAGUGUUAUAGCCUGCUGUGUCAUGCCACCAGUCCCGACUGAGGUCCGCGGUUCGCCUAGGAUGCUGGCUUAAUGGUUGU
Molecule: ribosomal RNA, 371 nt
Filed under: uncultured Orbiliaceae
Lineage: Eukaryota; Fungi; Ascomycota; Orbiliomycetes; Orbiliales
Description: LSU rRNA
Rfam family: Eukaryotic large subunit ribosomal RNA
Source: RNAcentral